Molecule: non-coding RNA, 5655 nt
Organism: Macaca mulatta (Rhesus monkey)
Lineage: Eukaryota; Metazoa; Chordata; Mammalia; Primates; Cercopithecidae
Source: RefSeq, a predicted model, not a curated record
UACUUGACCCUUCAAGCAGAUGGGAUUGGUCCUUUAUGGAAGAAGUUUGAGACAAAGAGACCCAGACCCCUCUUCCUCCAACAUUUCACAGGACGAAGUACGAAGGGAUCUUUGCCAGGGUGAGCCAAGGAGGCCUGGUGAUAACAGAUGCCCUGGCCCAAAGGAGAACAUCAGAGCUGGAGGGGACCCUGGAGAGGAUCUGGGCCAUCUCCUUUAUGAUUCAGUGGGGGGCCUCAAGCCCAGAGAGAAAAGAGGACACUCCCAAAGGAACAUGCAAGGUAAAGAUGGAGCGUUGGGUGGGCUCUGAGUCCUAAACUUGGUGCUUUCUGCCCUUCCUCUCAUCUGUCAGUUGAUGUCAUGGCCUCCUCAUUGAAGUAUAUGUAUGUCCAUAAAUGUUUUUAUCUUUAAAUCUCUCUUUCCACACACACAUGCACAGAAUUCCUCAGUGGGAAAGAUUAGAAACUAAAUAUACCAUCGAGCAUAUGUUUUAAGUAUUAAUGAAUUAAUAAAUUUAGGCCCAAUUAUCCAUUAAUCCACAGAUGUAAAUCAGUUAACAGAGCAGAAGAUCACCAGGGCUUGCAAUGGGGAAGGGGUGGGAUGAAGGCAAGCGGGGUGGUCCUGAUGAAGAACCCUAGACAUAAAAGAUGCCAUAGUUUAGCCCACCCUGAUCUUUGUAUUUCCUCAAGGUAUGCUAGACAAAAAGAAACAGCAAAUAGAUACGUAGCUGCAAAGAUCAACAAUGCCACUGUAUAUUAACUGUAGAGUUUUGGUUUUAGCAUGGCUGAUAACUAAUAGAAGCUUGACUUCAUGUGUUUCUUAAUUAAACCAAGCAUCUCACAAGUGAACAUCUCUGCUCCAGUACAUCCUGUAUCAGUUGGUGAUGUCUACUGGCAUUGGAUAACAUUUCAGUUCAGUUCCAUGAGAUACUACACAUAAUUCACCUAAUUCACAGAGCAAAUAUUUGUUACUUGCACACAUUGUGCAGGAGGCUGAUUUACCAGUAACUGGGCUUAAAUUCAUUAAUUUGUUAACACCAAAUGGCUUCCUUCCUUGGUGGUAUAUGAGCUGAAGAAAUGGAGUUCCUGUCUUCAAGAGAGUUACAGAGAUGAGGCUCCAGAGUGGAGCAACUUCUAUCUUUGGAGUCUUAUCGCCCAACGCCAUGUGACUGACUCAAUCUUGACUUGCUCUCCAAAAUAUUUACUUUAGCUCUGUGAAGUAUUUUUUUCCCUAGGGGAACGGAUUUUCGUAUGCAUAAUAGAGACCAGCGGGAAGAUAAGGCCCCACAGGUAAUCCUAUCAGAGCACAUGUAUUCCUUAUUGUGAGGAUGCCUGCAGCAUUUCAACAGAACCAGCCCUCUCCCUGGGGACUAGGCCUUUUGGGUUACCUUUCCAAACCAACACCAGCUUCACUUUCUUCCUCUGCCUGGUUGUCCAGCAGCGUCUGUGGCACCAAAUCUGUGUCCCCAGGAGUCAAAUGAUUUUCUGGUCAGGAAUGUAGAAAAACAACAUUACUGCACAUAUGAUGAAACCUUAUGAAAUUCAGGUGUGGAGGGAUUUUGGAUUCUGUGGUAUCAAAAUAACAACCAUAUAGCAUACUAAAUAUUUGCAAACUAUUAUUUUAAAAUUGUAUGUUGAGGUGUAGCUUACACACAAUAAAUGCAUGCGGUGAAAUAGUCAGUUCAAUACAUUGUGACCUCUUUAUUGGAGGGUAGCAGUAUACACCACCCCAAAAUAUGCCACUUUGGCAUAAGGAUUAUUUUGAGCCAAAAGCAAUUGAGAAGAAGUGGGUACAAGAAAAGUUCUCCACCCUCCCCCUAUUUGCCUAAAAGCAAGACAUAAAUUUACAAAGGUAAAGCUGUCCCUCAUCUCCUCACUACCAGAAAGGAUAAAGUUCGAUCACCAAAGAUGACAUUGACUUGCCUUCCCAUAAAGUGUUCCUCCUGGAGACUUAAAACCCUUUUCCACUGUCUUACUACUUGUCUAAAAAUGUACUGUUCAUUGUUGGAGGUGUAUUGAAACAGGAAUUCAAAGCUACCUCUUUGAGAAUUAUUUAAUCCCUGGAUCUCUCCCAUGUCCAUAUGAAAUAGACAUGUUAACACACUUCUGCUUGGUUUUCUCUUGUUAAUCUGUCUUGGGUUACAGGAGUCUGUUCCAGCUAAGAACUUAUGAGGGUUGAGAAAAAAAUUACUUUUCCUCCCAUACAUAGCCAAGGGCUGGUAACAACCCAAAUACAUCAAUCAAUAGAAGAAUAAACAAACAAAUUAUAGUAUUUUUAUAUAGUUAAAUACUACAUAGCAAUAACAACUUUUAAAACUACUGAUACCCAAACAACAUGGAAUAACUUCACAGACAUUAUUAUUGAGUGAAAGAAAUCAAACAAAUGACUCCUUUUAUAUGAAGUUCAAUAAUAUGCAAAUGAAUUGGUUGUAGAAGUCAGAAUCAUGGUUUUCUCUCAGGUGGGGCGAUUAUUGACUGGGAGGAGGAAGUACAAGGAAAUCUCCUGUUCUCCAUCUUGACCUGGGUGAGUGAUUUCUUAGAUGGAUAUUAUAAGAGAGGGAAAAAAAAUUUUCCCUCUAUUCUUCUAAGUUCUCAACUAGAACCCCUGUAACUCAAGACAGAUAAAUAAGAGAAAAACAAACAGAAAUGUACUCUUAAGUGUAUGUAGGAGACACCAGGGAAUAAACAAUUCUCAGAGGAGUGGCUUAGAACUCCCUGCUUAUAUAACCACACUCAACAAAGAAUUAUACAAUUUUAGAGAAGUGACAAGAUGAAGAAAAAGACUUUGCAUCUUGAGGGCCACCAAACUGUGGGUAGACAAAUAAAAACGAAAUGAAGAAUAGAAAGAGACUAGUCAAUAAAGUUUGUUACGCAGCUUCCUCUGGUACCAUCUCCAGGCCCAUAAAGGUCUAAAGUUCUCAGUGGUUAACCUUUAUUAUCCUUGAUAGAAAGACCUUUGUAAAUUUAGGUCUUGCUUUUAGGCAAAUAGAGAGAGGACAGAGAGCCUUCCUGCAUCUGCUUCUUCUUAAUUGCCUUCACCUCAAGAAUCCCUAUGCCAAAGGGGCGUAUCUCGGAGUAGCGUAUUCUGUUCUCUCACAAAUAUUAUGACCACAUGGACAGUAAUGAUUAAAGGAUCAUUUUCACCGAACAAAGCAGUAAUUUACAAGGCCCCUUUGUACAAAUUGUAUUCCCAAAAACAUAAUAUGUUGUGAUAUUGUGAUUUAUAAGUAUAAUUAUAUAUAGAUAUAUAAUUACAUAUACGUGUGUAUAUGUGUGUGUGUGUGUGUGUGUGUGUAUGGUUCUCAUCCCCAUUUCUGGCACAGGGCUCCUAAAACCCUUGAAAUUUCCUGGUGAUGAAAACAAUAAAGGUGAAAAGAGCAUCUUUUCUUAACCAUAACCGGGCCCUUUUAGCCACACCUGAGUUGAUGUUAAUGAGGUGACUUUAGAAAGCCUCCAAGGAUGGGGGCGCUGGUCGUCUGGGGAAACAACCAUGUGAUUUGAGGGUUGGAAUAUUCAGCCCUUGAGUUCCAGGAGAGGAGAGAGACUGGAGAUUGAGUUAACCACCAAUGGUCCAUAGUUUCUUUAACCAAUCAUGCCUGUGUAAGGAAGCCUCCAUAAAAGCCCAAAAGGACAGGGUUCAAAGAGCUUCUGGGUUGGUGAACACAUGGAGAUACCUGGAGGGUGGUGUGCCCAGAGAGGGCAUGGGAACUCCAUGUCUCUUCCCCCAUAUCUUGCCCUGUGCAUCAAUUCCAUCUGGCCAUUCUUGAGUUGGAUCCUUUAUAAAAAACUGGUCAUUGUAAAUAAAUGUUUCCCUGAGUUUUGCAAGCUGUUCUAGCAAAUUAUUGAAACUGAGGAAGGGGGUGUGGAAAUCUUCCAUGUGUCACCACAUUGGACAAAAGUUGUGGGUAACCUGGGGACCCACCACUUACAACUGGUGUCUGAAGUAGGGGCAGUCUUAUGGGACUGAGCCCUUAACCUGUGGGAUCUAAUGGUAUCUCCAAGGAGAUAGUGUCUGAAUUGAGUUAAACUGUAGGAUGCCAAGUUUGUUCUCAUCAAGAAGUGGAGAAUUGCUUGGUGUAGGGGGAAAAACUCACACAUUUUGGUGACCAGAAGAAGUAAAUUGGUGUGAGUAUUGAGGGUAGUAGUAGAGUUCAGCCUCCUUCCUUCGCCUCUCUCGCACACACCCUCUUGCCCUUCUGCCUUCUGCCUUCUGCCAUGGGAUAACACAGCAAGAAGGUCCUUGCCAGAUGCUAGCACCCUGAUAUUGAACUUCCCAGCCUCCAGAACUGUGAGAAAUAAAUUUCUUUUCUUCAUAAAUUCCCCAGUUUGUGGUAUUCUGUUAUAGCAGCACAAAACAGACUAAGACAGAAUAAAAGAGUCCCCCAGUCCUUCUAUCUACAAGGUAAAAAUUUUAGGAGCUCUAUGUUGGUAGGGGUGAUGGCAGCAGUUAGAUUUGCAGAAAUCCACAGGUUUCACCAGCGCAUGUGGGAGGUGAGAGAGUAGAGUCAAGGAUAACAUCAUAUUUUUGGGCCUUGAACAACUGUUACAAUGAAGAUCCCAUUUACUGAGAUGGGAAGGGGUGAAGGUUUUUUUGGUAGGAUAUGUGUUUGUCGUGGGGUGUGAUAGAGUUCAGUGUGGGAUGGGUUAAGUUUGAGAAACCUGUUAGACAGCCAAGUGAUGUUGAGUCUGUUUCUGGCUGGAGAUCAAAUUUGGGAGCCAUCAGUGCAGAAAGUAGUUGAAAUCAUGACUUGGGUGAGAACCCCAGGAUAAGAGUAACAGUAGAGACAAAGUGCAGUCAAAGAACUGGAUCCUGAGCACUCCAACAGUGGGACCUGAGGAAAGAGAGGAGGAAGAACAAGAGAUGGAACACAGGAGCAGCUAGUGAAGCACACAGAGAACUCACAGAGAAUGGCAUUUUGGAAUCCAGGGUGAAACAUUUGAAUAUGAUUGACAGCCUUUGUGUCUCCCUGUAUUUUUCAACAUUCUGAAUCUUGCUUUCCAUCUUUAUCUUACGAAGAUUCUGCUUUACCUGCCAGUGACAAUAGCUGGAAUGGAAGAAAACAUACCUUGGCAGGCUGGAGAUAGCGUGUUUCUGAUCCUCCUCAUAUUCAGAAUGACAGGUGUUCUGGCUGAGAAGAGACGCUGUACUACCUUUCUAGAGGAGAAAGAAGGCCUUCUCAUUAGUAUGGAUCCAAAGCCCCUUUCUAUCACUUACCUGUUCUGGGGUUUCAAGACAUUCAAGAUACCACUGUACGUUUCCCUUCUCAGAAAAGAGAAAUAGUUUGAGAUAAUAAGAUAUAACUUAUAGAUAAGUAAAAUAGCUAGUAAAAUGCCUAGCUCAAUAAAUGUUCAGGAGCAACUAGUUUCUGCAUUUUUCAUAAUUAUAAAUAGGAUAAAAAUAGUGUCUUACCUCGGAUUGGCUUAGAAAGCAACCCCCAACUACUUUGUAUGUUUCUUACAGGAGAUACAACUGAAACAGUGACUCGAAAAAAGUUGGAACUAAAAAGUUGGGCAAAAUCACAAAGGCAAAGGAAAUGUCUGUGGCUGUAAGAGGAAUCCUUGGGAUGGAAUUGUUCUGUGUCUUGAUUAGUGGUAGUCACAUACAUCCACAUGUGAGAAAAUUGCAGUAAAUUAAACUUGGGAAACUCAGUAAUGGGUC